Molecule: ribosomal RNA, 252 nt
Filed under: uncultured bacterium
Lineage: Bacteria
Description: partial 16S ribosomal RNA
Rfam family: Bacterial small subunit ribosomal RNA
Source: RNAcentral
UACAGAGGUCCCAAGCGUUGUUCGGAUUCAUUGGGCGUAAAGGGUGCGUAGGUGGCGCCGUAAGUGGGGUGUGAAAUUUCGGAGCUUAACUCCGAAACUGCAUUCCAUACUGCGGUGCUUGAGGACUGGAGAGGAGACUGGAAUUUACGGUGUAGCAGUGAAAUGCGUAGAGAUCGUAAGGAAGACCAGUGGCGAAGGCGGGUCUCUGGACAGUUCCUGACACUGAGGCACGAAGGCCAGGGAGCAAACGGG